AUGCUACCCAGAGGACUUUGUGAACACUUAAAUUCGAUUAUAAGAAAGUGUUGGUGGGGAUAUAAAGAAGGUCAGAGAAAACUAGCAUGGGUCUCGUGGGAAGUCAUGCCAAGGCCAAAUAUUUGGGGUUUAGUAUUCAGAGACUUGGAACUGUUUAACCUAGCCCUAUUGGCAAGACAUUCUUGGCGGCUUAUUCAAGAUCCAUCCUCCCUGAAUACAAGAAUUUUAAAAUUAGUUUACUUCCCUGAUGGAAUUAUUUUAACAAUAGAGCUAGGCACAGGACACUCACAGGUAUGGCAUGCGAUUCUGGAAGCGAGGGAUAUUCUCAAGUAGGGCAUUACUCGGAGGAUAGGGAACAAACAUGAUAUUAAUGUAUGGUCAGAAAAUUGGAUCCCAAAAGAGUCCUCUUUGCAGCCAAUCCUUUCUAUAGUUCAGAAUCUGCUGGAGAAGGUGUCGGAGUUGAUUGUGCCAGCCACACCUGCUUGGGAUGAACAUUUAGUUCGUAGCAUCUUCAUGUCGAUCGACGCUGAUGAGAUCCUCAAGAUCCCAAUAUGCACAUAA
RNAcentral lists this ribosomal RNA (561 nucleotides) under Triticum aestivum (bread wheat). RNAcentral's name for it is "partial small subunit ribosomal RNA". The record is from RNAcentral. Lineage: Eukaryota; Viridiplantae; Streptophyta; Magnoliopsida; Poales; Poaceae.